Molecule: small RNA, 124 nt
Filed under: Marmota monax (woodchuck)
Lineage: Eukaryota; Metazoa; Chordata; Mammalia; Rodentia; Sciuridae
Source: RNAcentral
GCCAGGCAUGGUGGUGCAUGCCUGUAAUCCCAGUGGCUCGGGAGGCUGAGGCAGGAGGAUCAGAAUUCAAAGCCAGCCUCAGCAAAAGUGAAGUGCUAAGCAACUCAGUGAGACCCUGUCUCUA